AUACUUACCUGGCAGGGGAGACACCACGCUCAGGAAGGUGGUUUUCCCAGGACGGGGCUGAUCCAUUGCGCUGGGGACCUGCUGACCCCUGCGAUUUCCCCAGGUGGGGGAAACUCGGCUGCAUAAUUUGUGUUUGUGGUGGUCUGUGUCCGUGCUUUCCCCCG
RNAcentral lists this small nuclear RNA (164 nucleotides) under Dasypus novemcinctus (nine-banded armadillo). RNAcentral's name for it is "U1 spliceosomal RNA (ENSDNOG00000032064.1)". It matches the Rfam family "U1 spliceosomal RNA". From Rfam's summary of the family: U1 is a small nuclear RNA (snRNA) component of the spliceosome (involved in pre-mRNA splicing). Its 5' end forms complementary base pairs with the 5' splice junction, thus defining the 5' donor site of an intron. There are significant differences in sequence and secondary structure between metazoan and yeast U1 snRNAs, the latter being much longer (568 nucleotides as compared to 164 nucleotides in human). The record is from RNAcentral. Lineage: Eukaryota; Metazoa; Chordata; Mammalia; Cingulata; Dasypodidae.